Molecule: ribosomal RNA, 543 nt
Filed under: Bifidobacterium dentium
Lineage: Bacteria; Bacillati; Actinomycetota; Actinomycetes; Bifidobacteriales; Bifidobacteriaceae
Description: bacterial SSU rRNA
Rfam family: Bacterial small subunit ribosomal RNA
Source: RNAcentral
GUGGUAAUGCCGGAUGCUCCGGUUGGAUGCAUGUCCUUCCGGGAAAGGUUCCAUCGGUAUGGGAUGGGGUCGCGUCCUAUCAGCUUGAUGGCGGGGUAACGGCCCACCAUGGCUUCGACGGGUAGCCGGCCUGAGAGGGCGACCGGCCACAUUGGGACUGAGAUACGGCCCAGACUCCUACGGGAGGCAGCAGUGGGGAAUAUUGCACAAUGGGCGCAAGCCUGAUGCAGCGACGCCGCGUGCGGGAUGGAGGCCUUCGGGUUGUAAACCGCUUUUGAUCGGGAGCAAGCCCUUCGGGGUGAGUGUACCUUUCGAAUAAGCACCGGCUAACUACGUGCCAGCAGCCGCGGUAAUACGUAGGGUGCAAGCGUUAUCCGGAAUUAUUGGGCGUAAAGGGCUCGUAGGCGGUUCGUCGCGUCCGGUGUGAAAGCCCAUCGCUUAACGGUGGGUCUGCGCCGGGUACGGGCGGGCUGGAGUGCGGUAGGGGAGACUGGAAUUCCCGGUGUAACGGUGGAAUGUGUAGAUAUCGGAAAAGAAACACCA